RNAcentral lists this ribosomal RNA (253 nucleotides) under uncultured bacterium. RNAcentral describes it as "partial 16S ribosomal RNA". It matches the Rfam family "Bacterial small subunit ribosomal RNA", at positions 524 to 776 of the family's 1533-position model. The record is from RNAcentral.
UAUGUAGGGGGCGAGCGUUGUCCGGAUUUACUGGGCGUAAAGGGUGCGUAGGCGGGGCUUUAAGUCAGAGGUGAAAUCCUGGAGCUCAACUCCAGAACUGCCUUUGAUACUGAGGAUCUUGAGUACGGGAGAGGUGAGUGGAACUGCGAGUGUAGAGGUGAAAUUCGUAGAUAUUCGCAAGAACACCAGUGGCGAAGGCGGCUCACUGGCCCGAUACUGACGCUGAGGCACGAAAGCGUGGGGAGCAAACAGG